This 391-nucleotide ribosomal RNA is filed under the name uncultured Nitrosomonas sp. RNAcentral describes it as "bacterial SSU rRNA". It matches the Rfam family "Bacterial small subunit ribosomal RNA", at positions 198 to 570 of the family's 1533-position model. Lineage: Bacteria; Pseudomonadati; Pseudomonadota; Betaproteobacteria; Nitrosomonadales; Nitrosomonadaceae. The record is from RNAcentral.
GGAGGAAAGCAGGGGAUCGCAAGACCUUGCGCUAAAGGAGCGGCCGAUGUCUGAUUAGUUAGUUGGUGGGGUAAAGGCCUACCAAGGCAACGAUCAGUAGCUGGUCUGAGAGGACGAUCAGCCACACUGGGACUGAGACACGGCCCAGACUCCUACGGGAGGCAGCAGUGGGGAAUUUUGGACAAUGGGCGAAAGCCUGAUCCAGCCAUGCCGCGUGAAUGAAGAAGGCCUUCGGGUUGUAAAGUUCUUUUAGUUGGAAAGAAAAAAUUAUGAUGAAUAAUCAUAAUUCAUGACGGUACCGACAGAAAAAGCACCGGCUAACUACGUGCCAGCAGCCGCGGUAAUACGUAGGGUGCAAGCGUUAAUCGGAAUUACUGGGCGUAAAAAGGGG